Molecule: ribosomal RNA, 719 nt
Filed under: Succochlea maretensis
Lineage: Eukaryota; Metazoa; Mollusca; Gastropoda; Stylommatophora; Camaenidae
Description: partial 16S ribosomal RNA
Rfam family: Archaeal large subunit ribosomal RNA (bases 320-484)
Source: RNAcentral
CACGAAAUUGUAUGAGCUAAUGUUAUAAAUUACUGUGUAGCAAAACAGAUCGAGAAUUUAAUAUUAGGGGUGAUAGGCCUAUCAAAGGCAAUGAUAGCUUGAUUUUUCUGAAAUGUAAUAGUACAUUGACGGGCUAAAAGCGCUAAGGCUUUUAACAAUUAUUAAGUAAAAUUAAUAUUCGAUGUACGUGUAAAAGCGUGUAUUAGUAUUAAAAUAUUAUUUGUGUUUAAAAUUUAUUUACUUUAGGAAAACGUUAAAUAAUACAAGAAUAUAAUGAAAAUGUUAAUAUAAGUAAUUAAUAGCUACUGAUAGUGAACUCGGCAUUAAGCUUUCAACUGUUUAUCAAAAACAUAGCCGUGUGGUGUAUACAUGGUAUUUUCUGCUCAAUGAGAUAUUAAAUAGCCGCAGUACCCUGACUGUGCAAAGGUAGCGUAAUCAUUUGUCUUUUAAUUGGAGUCACGUAUGAAUGAAUAUAUGGGGGCUUUCUUUACCAUUGGUAUUAGGUGAAUUUACUUAGUGAGUGCAAAUGCUCACUGAUAAAUAAUAGACGAGAAGACCCUAGAAAUUUUAUCUUGAUGUUUUUGUUGGGGCAACAUCGUAGCAGUUAACCUACGUUAUGUAUAUGAAAUAAAUUGGUAAAAAUAAAUUACUCUAGGGAUAACAGCAUAAUAUAAUAAUGUUUGUGACCUCGAUGUUGGAUUAGGGAGUUAAAGCUAGAA